Molecule: ribosomal RNA, 794 nt
Filed under: uncultured Thermococcus sp.
Lineage: Archaea; Methanobacteriati; Methanobacteriota; Thermococci; Thermococcales; Thermococcaceae
Description: bacterial SSU rRNA
Rfam family: Archaeal small subunit ribosomal RNA
Source: RNAcentral
ACUGCUCAGUAACACGUCGGUAACCUACCCUCGGGAGGGGGAUAACCCCGGGAAACUGGGGCUAAUUCCCCAUAGGCCUGAGGUACUGGAAGGUCCUCAGGCCGAAAGGGACUUAUGUCCGCCCGAGGAUGGGCCGGCGGCCGAUUAGGUAGUUGGUGGGGUAAUGGCCCACCAAGCCGAAGAUCGGUACGGGCUGCGAGAGCAGGAGCCCGGAGAUGGACACUGAGACACGGGUCCAGGCCCUACGGGGCGCAGCAGGCGCGAAACCCCCGCAAUGCGGGAAACCGCGACGGGGGGACCCCGAGUGCCGUGGCAACGCCACGGCUUUUCCGGAGUGUAAAAAGCUCCGGGAAUAAGGGCUGGGCAAGGCCGGUGGCAGCCGCCGCGGUAAUACCGGCGGCCCGAGUGGUGGCCGCUAUUAUUGGGCCUAAAGCGUCCGUAGCCGGGCCCGUAAGUCCCUGGCGAAAUCCCACGGCUCAACCGUGGGGCUUGCUGGGGAUACUGCGGGUCUUGGGACCGGGAGAGGCGGGGGGUACCCCUGGGGUAGGGGUGAAAUCCUAUAAUCCCAGGGGGACCGCCAGUGGCGAAGGCGCCCCGCUGGAACGGGUCCGACGGUGAGGGACGAAGGCCAGGGGAGCAAACCGGAUUAGAUACCCGGGUAGUCCUGGCUGUAAAGGAUGCGGGCUAGGUGUCGGGUGAGCCUCGAGCUCGCCCGGUGCCGUAGGGAAGCCGUUAAGCCCGCCGCCUGGGGAGUACGGCCGCAAGGCUGAAACUUAAAGGAAUUGGCGGGGGAG